RNAcentral lists this long non-coding RNA (395 nucleotides) under Brassica napus (rape). RNAcentral describes it as "long non-coding RNA (BNAP_LNC012770)". The record is from RNAcentral. Lineage: Eukaryota; Viridiplantae; Streptophyta; Magnoliopsida; Brassicales; Brassicaceae.
UCCUCAUAGUAGUGUCUAAACCUGAGACCUCCUCGCUCAUUCUUAGCUCCUCAUCUGUUGUGAUCGUCACCAAGUCUCCUUCUUGGUCUUUAUACUUUAUAUGAACCGCUAUUAAGCUAGGGAAACGCUCGUGAACCACUUCCCUGAGGUGGAAGAGAGUGCAGUUCAAAGGGAGCUCAGCCAAUCUAACAACUUUAUAUGAACCGCUCUUAAGCUAGGGAAACGCUCGUGAACCACUUCCCUGAGGUGGAAGAGAGUGCAGUUCAAAGGGAGCUCAGCCAAUCUAACGUCCUCAGAGUACACAAACUUGACAGUCUUCUUUAAUACACUGUUAUCCUCGACGAUAACUUCCUCAUGUUUAUCUUCAAUGAUCUUCUCUUUGCCCUUUACAUCUG